UCUGGUUGCAAUAAGAGGCCCAGCUCCAUUAGAAAUAACGGGCGGGAGUGACUCGUUCCCACGGCACUGUGUAAAUUCAACCAGCGCCGUUGAAAAGGCGAAAUGCGAGUCGGCUGUUCACUUUUCUGGUGUGUUUGGGCUUCUCUGUCUUCAUUUCCUCCAGCGACUCGUAAGUGUUGCCUUGGACAGCGGCGGCCUCCCUGGGGAUCUGCU
Molecule: long non-coding RNA, 213 nt
Organism: Micropterus salmoides (largemouth bass)
Lineage: Eukaryota; Metazoa; Chordata; Actinopteri; Centrarchiformes; Centrarchidae
Exons: 3
Source: RefSeq, a predicted model, not a curated record